RNAcentral lists this ribosomal RNA (466 nucleotides) under uncultured Pseudomonadaceae bacterium. RNAcentral describes it as "bacterial SSU rRNA". It matches the Rfam family "Bacterial small subunit ribosomal RNA", at positions 337 to 795 of the family's 1533-position model. The record is from RNAcentral. Lineage: Bacteria; Pseudomonadati; Pseudomonadota; Gammaproteobacteria; Pseudomonadales; Pseudomonadaceae.
UCCUACGGGUGGCAGCAGUGGGGAAUAUUGGACAAUGGGCGAAAGCCUGAUCCAGCCAUGCCGCGUGUGUGAAGAAGGUCUUCGGAUUGUAAAGCACUUUAAGUUGGGAGGAAGGGCUGUCGGCUAAUACCCUGCAGUUUUGACGUUACCAACAGAAUAAGCACCGGCUAACUUCGUGCCAGCAGCCGCGGUAAUACGAAGGGUGCAAGCGUUAAUCGGAAUUACUGGGCGUAAAGCGCGCGUAGGUGGUUCAGCAAGUUGGAUGUGAAAGCCCCGGGCUCAACCUGGGAACUGCAUCCAAAACUACUGAGCUAGAGUACGGUAGAGGGUGGUGGAAUUUCCUGUGUAGCGGUGAAAUGCGUAGAUAUAGGAAGGAACACCAGUGGCGAAGGCGACCACCUGGACUGAUACUGACACUGAGGUGCGAAAGCGUGGGGAGCAAACAGGAUUAGAUACCCCGGUAGUC